UGCGUAGGCGGAAUUUUAAGUCAGUGGUGAAAUCCUGCAGCUCAACUGUAGAACUGCCAUUGAUACUGAUCUUCUUGAAUUUAGUUGAGGUGGGCGGAACGUGUAAUGUAGCGGUGAAAUGCUUAGAUAUUACACAGAACACCGAUUACGAAGGCAGCUCACUAAACUAACAUUGACGCUGAGGCACGAAAGCGUGGGUAGCGAACAGGAUUAGAUACCCUGGUAGUCC
Molecule: ribosomal RNA, 229 nt
Filed under: uncultured bacterium
Lineage: Bacteria
Description: partial 16S ribosomal RNA
Rfam family: Bacterial small subunit ribosomal RNA
Source: RNAcentral